CACCGCGGUUAUACGAGAGACCCAAAUUGACAGUACCCGGCAUAAAGUGUGGUUAAGAAAUUAAACAAUAAGGCCGAACUCUUCCAAAGCUGUCAUACGCAACCGAAAGAAAGAAGACCAACAACGAAAGUGGCCUUACUCAAUCCGAACCCACGAAAGCCAGGAAA
RNAcentral lists this ribosomal RNA (167 nucleotides) under Eubleekeria jonesi (Jones' pony fish). RNAcentral describes it as "partial 12S rRNA". Lineage: Eukaryota; Metazoa; Chordata; Actinopteri; Chaetodontiformes; Leiognathidae. The record is from RNAcentral.